AUUAAACUCAUUGUGGCUCCUGGAGGGAAGAGGUGCAGAGGCAGUCUGGCCAGCUACAGCACAUCAGUCUGAUUCCAUCCAGUCAGAGAACAACAGCCCCAGAAAUGGGAUCUUGGGAACAAAAUCAGUCCUGCUUCUGCCACAGGGAUGGAGAAUUUGAAUUGAUUUUUGCACCUGGAGCUGUCUAGCAGAGCUUCCUCUGGGUAAGGAAGUUUUCUGCUGGCAGAAUUGUCAGAGACUUCUUCCUCAGCAUUAAAUUUUUUUGUUCAUUUCACAGAGCUACCCAAGGCAAUUUUCCCACGUACACGCUAUUCCUGCCGCUGUACUUUUCACGUCCACACAAUGGCACCUUAACCGGCUGUACAGUAUAAGCUCCAAAAUGGGAAGUCUAGUCUAAUCAGUAGCUGCGUGACUAUUAUUAUAGGAAGACAAGUAUUAAACAAUUUUGUUAAAAGUUUAAAGAUUUAUUCCUUCACCCCAUGUUGUUUCUUCAAACCCCACCUCCUAUUUUUAAAGAUAAAUGGAUAGGUUUGAGUUGUCCAGGGGUUUUCCAGGGGUAAUUCAGAGCACAUUGCAGGGAGGGCAGUCACUGAGGUAAAGCAGGACCCAAGUCAAAUUGUCUUCCCUCUUCUAGGUUAUUCAAAAAUGGAUCCAUUAACUGAAAAAAGGGGAAGAAUCUCACAGUCGAAAGGUUCAGUGCCUGCAGGUGUUCAGAUUUUUCGGUUGUUCAGUUCUACUAUAAUAUAGCCAAUGUCUGUCCAAGGCCAGGCAAAGAGCAAAGGGCUUACUCCCAGAGUGCCCUGUGUUGUACCCAUUAUACAAGGAUGAUAAGGCUGAGUUAGGUAAUAGUUAGGAUUGUGCAAGAUAGAGAGAGAUAAGCCAGUAAACCACCUCUUCCCAAAAUAAAGCAGAGAAUUAUAGAUUUUUAAUAGAAAUGUGGUCAGUUUGGUCUUUUUGUUUCUUUCUUCCUUUUUUGGGGAGGGGUCUCAGCAGGCUUAUCCUCAAGGUAAAACUCUGGCAAGUUUACAUUUGUUUUCUAUUACAUUCUGUUACGCUGGCUACUAGGAAAGCCAGUGGUGCAACAGUGUUCCACUGUGUACUGAUCAAGUACAGGUGUUGGUAACGUGACUUACUAGGUUGUGAAACGCCUGCUCCUCCUGACGUGUUUCUGGAAGGCCUUGGUUGUGUCCCCAGCACACCUGCAAGUACACAAACACAGGUAAGAGACAAGUCCUCUUCCCGUGCUUUUUCUCACUUUCUUUGAGGCAAAGUCAAAUGCUGUUGUAUAAAAUAUCUAGAUUACAUGGUCGACCUCACAGCUAAAAUGGAAACAACACUGGCAGCAUAUCUGAUGGUUGUCAUGUUUGCCCACAGUAGGGUUGUUAUAUUUGGCAAGAGAGAAGCUCUCACCUAACUCUACAACAAGGCUGCAUAUGCAGCGUGAAGAAACUGAGACUCUGGUAUAUUUUCCAGGAGUAGUGUAAAGUGUAAAAUGAAGUGUAAAAUGCAGUCUUUUCGUAGUUUAGUUUAAGACAGUUCUGAAGUUGCAACAGUUUAAUGCUAUGUCACGAAAGAGACGUUCCAUCUGCUUCAUCUACCCGACUCAUCUGUGUUUUAACUGUUAUUUUCACUGCCUAAUUGUGUCUACCCUUGUAAGUAAUUACAUUUCUUUUCUAUACAGCAGGUCAUACAGGUAGAGUAGAAAAGUAAUUACUGGAGUUGGUAGAGGGUAUUAAUUUUCUAGAGGAUGAUGUAUCUGCUGAUCUGCAUCAUAUUUUCCUUGUUGUUACUGGAAACACAUCUGCAGUUCUCAGGUGAACUCUAUGCCUUUUGUCAAUAAUUGGUGUCCUGCAGCUAUGAAAACAAGAGAUUUUAAAAGUUUGCCUGAGAGUUUUUAAUGAAUAUUUAUUAUAUGAAAAUACAAGAUACGCUGCAGUAUUUAAAAGACAGAGUUGGGUUGAUUUAGGACAAGG
Molecule: long non-coding RNA, 1973 nt
Organism: Struthio camelus australis
Lineage: Eukaryota; Metazoa; Chordata; Aves; Struthioniformes; Struthionidae
Source: Ensembl